RNAcentral lists this long non-coding RNA (6139 nucleotides) under Nicotiana tabacum (common tobacco). RNAcentral's name for it is "long non-coding RNA (NTAB_LNC008160)". Lineage: Eukaryota; Viridiplantae; Streptophyta; Magnoliopsida; Solanales; Solanaceae. The record is from RNAcentral.
AUUAAUUACCAAUUAUCAUAAUAAGUGUGUAAAACAGCAAGUUAGAUAUGCGAAAGUCAACAAGGCAUAAAAACUACACAGCACACACUGAUCUGGUGUCACAAGUCUAGAGCCUCUAAUACAAGUCUGAACAACCUACUACAUAGAUAGUCUAGGAAUGCGGAAAAGUACUAAUAUAGAAGGGAGAAAUCAGGGCUGCGGACAUCAUGCAGCUACCUCGAAAUCCCCGGCAAUUGCUGAACGACUGAAAAGCUCUCACUCGGCCUCUGGGGCACCUGGAUUUGCACGCAAGGUGCAGGGAGUAAUGUGAGUACUCCGACCCAGUGAGUAAUAAAGAUAAAUAAUGACUGAAACUAAGAAACCACGUGUACACAUGGUAUUCUAUAAUGAAGAAAUUAAAUAGGUAAUUUGUAAGCAAUAAACCAAUGAAAAGUAAAAUAAAGUACUUCUACAAUAAAUAAAUAGGUAAUUGACAAACAGUUAUGGUAAAGUAAACACAUAGAAGUUCUCCCCUCGGGCACCGUAUCAAUAAUUUCCGCCCCUCGGGUUCAAUCUCACAUCACAAUGGGUACCCACGCUCACUGGAGGUGUGCAGACUCCGGGAGGGGCCCCUUACGGCCCAAGCGCAAUAUCAAGCCAUCUCGUGACAUCAUAUCUAGGCCCUCGGCCUCAUAUCAAUCAAGCCACCUCGUGGCGUAUAUAUGUAUCUCAGGCUCUUAGCCUCAUAUCAGUAUCAGUGUUCCUUAUAAUAUAGGCCCUCGGCCUUACUCAGUCCAAAAAAAUCAUCACAAGCCCCUUGGGCUAUAGUAAAACAGUGUUUUCAGCCCAAACAUCAUUUAAAAUAUCAUUUAAGUCUUGAAAACUGAGAAAGAAUGGUUGAAUAGUAAAAACAUUGGGAAAAUAUCAUGACUGAGUUCAAGUAACAAGUCAAAACAGUGAGGAAAUAUCACUAAAUAGCCCCGAAGGAUUCAAAUAGUUGGCACUAGGCCCAAUUAUGACAUUCAGCCCAAAUAAUGAUGACAACACAUAGUUUACAAUCAAAUACGCGGUAAAAUCAUCAAUCGGGACGGACCAAGUCACAAUCUCCAAUAGUAUACGACCCCACGCUCAUCAUCAAGCGCGUGUCUCACCUCAAUAUAGCACUACGAAGUGCAAAUCCGGGGUUUCAAACCCUCAGGACAUCAUUUACAAUCAUUACUCACCUUGAACCGGCUAACUCUCUAACUCGCGACGCAUUUGCCCCUCGAAUCGGCCUCCACGCGCGUCGAAUCUAACCAAAAUCAGAAUGAAUACGUCAUAAUAUUCUAAGGGAAUGAAGCCUUAGCGAAAAUAAUCGAAAAAUACCAAAAAUCCCGAAAUUAGCAAAAACCCGAGCCCCGGGCCCACUUCUCGAAACUCAGAAUUUUUCACAUCAUUAGAUUCCUCGUCUCCUCACGAGGUCAUACAAAUCAAAAACAUAAGAAUCGGAGCUCAAAUGACCCCUCAAAUCCUCAAUUUAAGCCCUCUUAAACUCAAGCCUUAAACCUCCAUUUUUAGUCCUUCAAUUCCUUAAAUUUCAGUCCCAAUCCAUGAAAUAUUAACAUAGAAGUAUGUUUUAGGUCCAAAAUCCUUAUCUCAACGAAGUUCUCUUGAAAUCUUCCUUCAAAAUCGCCCAAAAGCUCUCAAUCCGAAGUUAAAAUGGUUAAACCCUUCCAAAAUCGCGAAGAAAAAAUAUAUAUACAUUCUGCCCAGGGGUUUUCGCGUCUGCGACCCUUCUACCGCUUCUGGUGUACCACAUUUGCGGUCACAAGUCUGCUUCUACUGAAUUCACUUAACCAGCCCAAAUCCGCUCCUGCGAUCGCCCUUUCGCAUCUGCGAUUCCACAGAUGCGGCCCAAAACUCUGCUUCUGUGGUUCCUGACCCUCAUCCCAAAUCUCGCAUCUGCGGCCUUCUCCCUCGCAUGUGCGGCACCGCACCUGCGGUCCCCAAGCCACAAGUGCGAAAACACCAGAAGCAACAAUUUUUCUGAAAUCUCUUAAGUCCCAAUUCUUCCCGUUAACCAUCCGAAAUCACCCCGAGGCCUCCGGGACCUCAACCAAAAGCACAAACAUGACAAUACCUUAUUCAAACUUGUUCCAAUCAUCAAAACACCUCAAACAACAUCAAAUUACCCAAAACUCAUCGAAUUCAAGCCUAAGUUCCUAAAAUCUCCGAAACACGCUUUUGAUCAAAAACCCAACCAAACCACGUCCGAAUGACCUGAAAUUUUGCACACACAUCCCAAAUGACACAACGAAGUUACUGAAACUCUCGGAAUUCCAUUCCGAACCUUAUACCAAAAUCUCACCUAUCAACCGGAAAUCCCCAUAAUAUCAACUUCGCCAUUCAAGCCUAAUUCUACUCCGAACCUCCAAAACCAAUUCCGAUCACGCUCCUAAGCCAUAAAUCACCUCUCUGAGCUAACCGAACCAUCGGAACUCACAUCCGAGCUCUCUAAUACAUAAGUCAACAUACGGUUGACUUUUCCAACUUAAACCUUCUUAAAAGAGACUAAGUGUCUCAUUUCUUAUCAAAUCCUCUCUGAACUCAAACUUAUCAAUCCGAUCACAUAAAACACGGAUAAAGAAGCAUAAAGAAGCAAAAAUGGGGGAAACAAAGCGGUAACUCAUGAGACGACUGGCCGGGUCGUCAUAUCCUCCCCAACUUAAACAAACGUUCGUCCUCGAACGAGUCAAGAAACAUACCUGAAGCCUCAAAUAGGUGAGGAUAUCUGCUCCGCAUCUCCCGCUCAGUCUCCCAGGUAGCCUCCUCCACGGGCCAACCUCUCCACUGCACUUUCACUGAAGCUAUAUCCUUUGACCUCUACUUCUGAACCUGACGACCCAAAAUAGCUACCGGCUACACAUCAAAGGUCAAAUCAUCAUCCAACUGAACCGUGCUGAAGUCCGAAACAUGAGACGGAUCUCCAAUAUACUUUCAGAGCAUAAAAACAAGAAAUACCGAAUGCACACUCGACAAGCUAGGUGGAAAAGCAAGCUCAUAAGCCACCUCCUAAAUCCUCUGAAGCACCUCAAAAGGCCCAAUGAACCGAGGACUAAAUUUCCCUUUCCUCCCAAAUCUCAUAACACCCUUGAUGGGUGAGACCUUCAACAGAACCUUCUCGCCAACCAUGUAGGACACAUCUCGAACCUUCCUAUCAGCAUAACUCUUUUGCCUUGACUUUGCAGUACGAAGCCUCUCCUGAAUCACCUUCACCUUCUCCAAAUCAUCCUGUACCAAAUCAAUCCCCAAUAGUCUAGCCUCGUCGGGCUCGAACCAACCAACUAGAGAUCUACACCGCCUCACGUACAAAGCCUCAUAUGGAGCCAUCUGAAUACUCAACUGGUAGCUACUGUUAUAAGCAAACUCUGCAAGCGGUAGAAACUCAUCCCAUGAUCCUCCAAAAUCGAUGACACAAGCACGCAACAUUUCCUCCAAUAUAUGAAUAGUACGCUCGGAUUGCCCGUCCAUCUGAGGAUGAAAAGUUGUGCUCAACUCUACCUGAGUACCCAACUCUCUUUACACGACCCUCUAAAACUGCGAAGUAAACUGAGUACCUCUAUCUGAAAUGAUGGAGACUAGGACACCAUGCAAACGAAUAAUCUCUCGGAUAUAGAUCCCUACCAACCGCUCUGAAGAAUAGGUAGUACACAUAGGAAUGAAGUGCGCGGACUUGGUCAGCCGAUCCACAAUCACCCAAACAGCAUCGAACUUCUUCAAAGUCCGUGGAAGUCCAACAACAGAGUCUAUAGUGAUCCUAUCACACUUCCACUCAGGAAUAUCCAUCUGAUGAAGCAAGCCACCCAGUCUCUGAUGCUCAUAUUUCACCUACUAAAAAUUGAGACACCGAGCUACAAAUUCCACAAUAUCUUUCUUCAUUAUUCUCCACCAAUAGUGUUGCCUCAAAUCCUGAUACAUCUUCGCGGCACCCGGAUGAAUGGAAUACCGCGAGCUAUGGGCCUCCUCCAGGAUCAACUCCCGAAGCCCAUCCACAUAUGGAACGCAAAUCCGACCCUGCACCCUCAAUACCCCAUCAUCACCAAUGGUCACAUCCCUGACAUCAUCAUGUUGAACCCUGUCCUUAAGGACAAGCAAAUGCGGAUCAUCAUACUGGUGCUCUCUGAUGCGAUCAUAUAGGGAAGAUCGAGAAACUACACAAGACAAAACCCGACUGGGCUCCGAAAUAUCUAAUCUCACAAACCGAUUGGCCAAGGUCUGAACAUCAACUGCAAGAGGUCUCUCCCCAAUUAGAAUAUAUGCCAAACUCCCCAUACUCAGUGCCCUCCGGCUCAAAGCAUCGGCCACCACAUUGGUCUUUCCCGGAUGGUACAAUAUAGUGAUAUAGUAAUCCUUAAGCAACUCCAACCAUCUCCGCAGCCUCAAAUUAAGAUCAUUUUGCUUGAAUAAAUGUUGAAGACUGCGAUGAUCAGUGAACAUCUCACAAGAUACACCAUACAGGUAAUGCCUCCAAAUCUUUAAUCCGUGAACUAUGGUAGCCAACUCCAAAUCAUGAGCGGGGUAGUUCUUCUCAUGGGGCUUCAACUGACGAAAAGCAUAAGCAAUAACUCUACCCUCCUACAUCAAUACACAACCAAUCCCAACUCUUGAAGCAUCACAAUACACGGCAUAUGAACCUGAAGCUGAUGGAAAAAUCAAUACUGGAGUUGUGGUCAAAGUUUUCUUGAGCUUCUGAAAGCUCUCCUCACACUCGUCCAACCAUACAAAUGGACCACCCUUCUAAGUCAACUUGGUCAAGGCGAUGCGAUAGAUUAGAAUCCCUGAACAAACCGGCGAUAAUAGCCUGCCAAACCAAGAAAGCUAAGAAUCUCAGUGGCUGAGGACGGUCUAGGCCAACUCUGAACCACCUCUAUCUUCUUCGGAUCAACCUGAAUACCCUCGCUGGACACCACGUGCCCUAAGAAAGCCACUGAACUGAGCCAAAACUCACACUCGGAGAAUUUUGCAUAAAGCUUUUCCUCCCUCAAUCUCUGCAACACAACCCUCAAAUGCUUCAUGUGCUCCUCCUGACUACGCGAGUACACUAGAAUAUCAUCAAUGAAGACUAUGACAAAUGAAUCGAGAUAAGGCCGGAACACGUUGUUCAUCAAAUGCAUGAAUGCUGCUGGGGCAUUGGUUAGCCCGAAAUACAUCACAAGGAACUCAUAAUGACCAUAUCUGGUCCUGUAAGAAGCCUUAAGAAUAUCUGAAUCCCUGAUCUUCAACUGAUGAUAACCCGAACAGAGAUCAAUCUUGGAGAAAACUCUCGCUCCCUGAAGCUGGUCAAAUAAAUUAUCAAUGUGAGGCAAAGGAUACUUGUUCUUAAUUGUUACUUUGUUCAAUUGCCUAUAAUCAAUGCACAUUCUCAUUGUGCCAUCCUUCUUCUUUACAAACAGAACUAGCGCACCCCAAGGUGACACACUAGGCCGAAUGAACCCCUUAUCUAGGAGUUCCUGAAGCUGAUACUUCAAUUCCUUCAACUCCGCUGGUGCCAUACGAUACGGCGGAAUAGAAAUGGGGUGCGUGCCCGGCACCAAGUCAAUACCAAAACCAACAUCACUGUCCGGCGGCAUGCAUGGCAGGUCUGCAAUAAACACAUCGAGAAAAUCCCUCACAAUUGGGAUAGAAUCAAUACUGGGAGUCUCAGCUCCGACAUCCCUCACAAACACUAGAUAUGAAAGGCAGCCCUUCCCAACCAUACGCUAGGCCUUCAAGAAAGAGAUCACUCUACUAGGAACAUAAUCAGUCACACCACACCACUCGAUCUGCGGCACACCCGACAUAGCCAAAGCGACUAUCUUAGGAUGACAGUCCAGAAUAGCACGACACGGAGAUAACCAAUACAUGCCCAAAAUGACAUCAAAAUCCACUAUGCUCAAUAGCAAUAGAUCUACUUGGGUCUCCAGACCCCCAAUAGUCACCACACAUAACCGGUAUACACGGUCUACAACAAUAGUAUUGCCCACCGGGGUAGAUACAUGAACAGGUAAAGCAAGAAACUACAGGGGCAUAUCCAAAUAAUGAGCAAAAUACAAGGACAUAUAAGAAAAGGUGGAACUGGGAUCAAAUAAUAUAGAGGCAUCUCUGUGGCAGACUGAAAAAAUACCUGUAAUGACAACAUCUG